Molecule: ribosomal RNA, 254 nt
Filed under: uncultured bacterium
Lineage: Bacteria
Description: partial 16S ribosomal RNA
Rfam family: Bacterial small subunit ribosomal RNA
Source: RNAcentral
CACGUAGGGGCCAAGCGUUGUCCGGAUUUAUUGGGCGUAAAGAGCUCGUAGGCGGUUCGACAAGUCGGGUGUGAAAACUCCGGGCUCAACCCGGAGACGCCACCCGAUACUGUCGUGACUGGAGUCCGGUAGGGGAGUGGGGAAUUCCUGGUGUAGCGGUGAAAUGCGCAGAUAUCAGGAGGAACACCAGUGGCGAAGGCGGCACUCUGGGCCGGUACUGACGCUGAGGAGCGAAAGCGUGGGGAGCGAACAGG